This 1356-nucleotide long non-coding RNA is filed under the name Bemisia tabaci. RNAcentral's name for it is "lncRNA ENSSSA3NGG004029". The record is from RNAcentral. Lineage: Eukaryota; Metazoa; Arthropoda; Insecta; Hemiptera; Aleyrodidae.
GUAAAUCCUGGAUCACGCAACAUUAUCUCACAAUGCAACGAAUCUGAGUGUCGGCCUGUCAGCUUUUGUAAUGACUUUUGCCCAAUGGGGCUGUUGCACACUUUUUUUUUAAUUCAUUUUCGUAAAGUACAUGAAAAAUAAGGAGACCCGUCUUUUUUCUUUUUUCAUUUAAUAAACUUUUAGGUAAGAAAACGACUUCCAAAGUUGCUGAAAGUUCAACUCCAUUUAAAACGGAAAAAUAUCGCGCCAACGGAUUUUGUGACGUCACAAGGCUCAGUGACCGCCCUGAUCCUUUCCAUCUGCGGAUGCUAUUGUUUAACAAUAACAAUACGUGCUGAGUGAGGUUAUGUCGGAAGUGAAAACCUAUUUUUUCUCACUGUUUUCAAAAUGAAAUCGUUUCAUCGUGUGGUGAAUUGUUUUGUUCCGGGGUGCUGCAAUUGCAGUGAAAGUGGUGGCAAACUUUUUUUUCAAGUGCCGAGGAACUCCAUGAGGAAUAAGUGGUGGUUUGCUGUUGGACUGCCUCCUGACACUCUGCAACUCAGACUAAAGCCUACUGUUGUGAGGAUCAUUUUAAUCUUGAAGAGGAUGUUGAAGAGUGGAGGCGGUACCUAUUUUGCAUUGAAGGAGGAUUGCCUACGUUCCGUCUGCGGCUGCACCAAGAUGUAAUUCCACAUCGCAACUUACCCAUCUUCAGUCCCAAAAUGCCUACUCCGAAGAGAAGGAAAACAGUUCUCCUCGACAGGAGCAAUUCUAUUGUGCAGACUGAAACCUCGUCUCCUGUAUCAUUGGCUAGUAUCAAAAGUAAUCGGUUCCAAGAUUUGAGAAGAAUUUCGAAUAUUCAGGAAGACAAUGAUUUCGCUUUGGCCUACAAUCCGAACCUAGUUACAUAUAGCCCCACCGAAGAAACCGGAGGAACAGCAACGCUGAAAAUGCGGAUCCUAAUGAAUAUACUGAAACCUCGUCUCCUGUCUCAUUGGCUAGUAUCAAAAGUAAUCGGUUCCAAGAUUUGAGAAGAAUUUCGAAUAUUCAGGAAGACAAUGAUUUCGCUUUGGCCUACAAUCCGAACCUAGUUACAUAUAGCCCCCACCGAAGAAACCGGAGGGACAGCAACGCUGAAAAUGUGGAUCCUAAUGAAUAUGUAUGAUUUUUUUUAAAAUUAUGAUUCAAUUUUCAUUAUUAAAUGACCUCUUAAAGUAUUCACAUGACUCACAAUGGAAAGGGAUUGGCAUUAGAAAUUCAGAUCAUGAAUAAUUUUUUGUCUCUAUGGUUCUGUUGCGUGCAAGGGAUACACUCAAGUGAAUGAACCUCUCAAAGGUAGAAUCAUACUAAAAUCAAGCUAUGUUUUUUAUGAUCUCU